This 708-nucleotide ribosomal RNA is filed under the name uncultured Providencia sp. Its description in RNAcentral is "bacterial SSU rRNA". It matches the Rfam family "Bacterial small subunit ribosomal RNA", at positions 795 to 1502 of the family's 1533-position model. Lineage: Bacteria; Pseudomonadati; Pseudomonadota; Gammaproteobacteria; Enterobacterales; Morganellaceae. The record is from RNAcentral.
UCACGCUGUAAACGAUGUCGAUUUGGAGGUUGUUCCCUUGAGGAGUGGCUUCCGGAGCUAACGCGUUAAAUCGACCGCCUGGGGAGUACGGCCGCAAGGUUAAAACUCAAAUGAAUUGACGGGGGCCCGCACAAGCGGUGGAGCAUGUGGUUUAAUUCGAUGCAACGCGAAGAACCUUACCUACUCUUGACAUCCAGAGAAUUUAGCAGAGAUGCUUUAGUGCCUUCGGGAACUCUGAGACAGGUGCUGCAUGGCUGUCGUCAGCUCGUGUUGUGAGAUGUUGGGUUAAGUCCCGCAACGAGCGCAACCCUUAUCCUUUGUUGCCAGCACAUUAUGGUGGGAACUCAAAGGAGACUGCCGGUGAUAAACCGGAGGAAGGUGGGGAUGACGUCAAGUCAUCAUGGCCCUUACGAGUAGGGCUACACACGUGCUACAAUGGCGUAUACAAAGAGAAGCGACCUCGCGAGAGCAAGCGGAACUCAUAAAGUACGUCGUAGUCCGGAUUGGAGUCUGCAACUCGACUCCAUGAAGUCGGAAUCGCUAGUAAUCGUAGAUCAGAAUGCUACGGUGAAUACGUUCCCGGGCCUUGUACACACCGCCCGUCACACCAUGGGAGUGGGUUGCAAAAGAAGUAGGUAGCUUAACCUUCGGGAGGGCGCUUACCACUUUGUGAUUCAUGACUGGGGUGAAGUCGUAACAAGGUAACCA